This 492-nucleotide ribosomal RNA is filed under the name uncultured bacterium. RNAcentral describes it as "partial 16S ribosomal RNA". It matches the Rfam family "Bacterial small subunit ribosomal RNA", at positions 29 to 507 of the family's 1533-position model. The record is from RNAcentral.
AGUGAACGCUGGCGGUAGGCCUAACACAUGCAAGUCGAACGGCAGCACAGUAAGAGCUUGCUCUUGCGGGUGGCGAGUGGCGGACGGGUGAGGAAUACAUCGGAAUCUACUUUUUCGUGGGGGAUAACGUAGGGAAACUUACGCUAAUACCGCAUACGGCCUACGGGUGAAAGCAGGGGAUCUUCGGACCUUGCGCGAUUGAAUGAGCCGAUGUCGGGUUAGCUAGUUGGCGGGGUAAAGGCCCACCAAGGCGACGAUCCGUAGCUGGUCUGAGAGGAUGAUCAGCCACACUGGAACUGAGACACGGUCCAGACUCCUACGGGAGGCAGCAGUGGGGAAUAUUGGACAAUGGGCGCAAGCCUGAUCCAGCCAUACCGCGUGGGUGAAGAAGGCCUUCGGGUUGUAAAGCCCUUUUGUUGGGAAAGAAAAGCAGCAGGUUAAUACCCCGCUGUUCUGACGGUACCCAAAGAAUAAGCACCGGCUAACUUCGUG